GGAUGCUGACCUGGUCUUUCUGGGCGAUUGUACUCCGUGUGUGAACUGCGAAUCACCACUCGAAGGCUUGCAUCCUGUCCAAGGCCUGGUUCAAGAUGGUCGAGAACUUGCUGCGAUCCAUAAAGCACGUUGCCU
This is a long non-coding RNA of Penaeus monodon (black tiger shrimp), 135 nucleotides long. RefSeq lists it as uncharacterized. The record is from RefSeq and is a predicted model, not a curated record. The transcript is spliced from 3 exons. NCBI's taxonomy places the organism in Eukaryota, Metazoa, Arthropoda, Malacostraca, Decapoda, Penaeidae.